UUCUUUCAGGUUUUUCAUCAAGUCCUAGUUCUAGAGAUUUGGCAAGAUUAUUUGUUGUACUCAUUAUUGAUAUAGUAAAAGAUUAUUGUUGCUGUCUUGUGGACGUAGGCACAUAUUGCCGAACCACGUAAAUUCUUGGUGUUUUUUAUCUUGGGUAUUUGUUUUUCGAUUUCCGGAGUUUGUUCUUGUUUUUCCUAUUCUUAAACGCGAUAUUCUCAACAAGUGGUAUCAGAGCCUGCUUUGGCUAAUAUCCGUUUAGAAUGGAGGGUGCAACCUGCUUUAAUUGGGUUACGUGGAAAUCAAGAAGAGGACAUGCUUUACUGAAGAUGUUAUGAGCAAGCCAGCAAGUAUGUCUGAUGCUAAUUGGACCAAGAUGAAGAUAAGCGAUGUUUUCUGGCAAAGAAGUCUAUAAUUUCCUUUGCCAAUGAUGAUGGGUAUUGCAAUCACGGGGAGCCUAGUCAAGAGAAGUCUAAUCAAGAGGAUCUUGGUUAAUGAGAAGUUAGAUCAGGGGGAGCUUGGUUAUGGGUAAUUCGAUCAGGGGGAGUCUGGUCAUGAAAAGUUCGAUCAAUGGGAGUUUGGUCAUGAGGAGCAAUCCUAUUUUUGUAUACCUUCCUCAUGGUCUGGAGGGGGAGAUUGUUGGGUUUUUUUCCAGCCCAUGAUAAGUUGUCCUAAAUCUAUUGGGAAUUAAUAGUCUUAGAGGAUUAAAUUGUUUUCCCAAUUGGAGUUGUUUACCCAAUUGGAGUUAGUUUCUCAAUUGGAGUAGGAUUCAUAACUAGAUUCCAAUUAGGAUUAAUAAUCCUUAUUGAAGAAGACCUUUAUUAUGUCUAUAUAAAGGGGCUAUUGUACUAGUUUUGAGAAGGGGAGCAAAACAAUAAAUUGUAUACCACUCAAGGGAUUAGAGUGAGAGAACAUUGUAAAGUAUGUGCGAGAGAAAAGAAAAGAGAUAGUGUAUUUCUUGUUCUUGUUCUUUCAAGUUUUUCGUCAAGUCCUAGUUCUAGAGAUUUAGCAAGAUUAUUGGUUGUGCUCAUUAUUGAUAUAGUGAAAAAUUGUUGUUGCUGUCCCGUGGAUGUAGGCACAUAUUGCCGAACCAAGUAAAUUCUUGGUGUUAUUUAUCUUGGUUAUUUGUUUUUUGAUUUUCGAAAUUUAUUCUUGUUU
This 1155-nucleotide long non-coding RNA is filed under the name Malus domestica (apple). Its description in RNAcentral is "long non-coding RNA (MDOM_LNC001967)". The record is from RNAcentral. Lineage: Eukaryota; Viridiplantae; Streptophyta; Magnoliopsida; Rosales; Rosaceae.